Molecule: long non-coding RNA, 214 nt
Filed under: Elaeis guineensis (African oil palm)
Lineage: Eukaryota; Viridiplantae; Streptophyta; Magnoliopsida; Arecales; Arecaceae
Description: long non-coding RNA (EGUI_LNC071402)
Source: RNAcentral
AUUACAGAUAGCUGCUAACAAUUGAUCCCCAAUUGAAUGCACUAAACAACAUCAUUUGUUUCUGAGCCUCCAUUUUGACCAAAGAUCUUGCAAACUAGAUAGCCAUCGCUUUAGUCUUAAGUUUGAGUUUUAAUUGAGAAUUAGAUACUCCACUGGAAUGGGCAUCUAAUAAACAGGUGAUUUGCAGUUUCUGAAGAGUUACCACAUAGUGCAC